This 4696-nucleotide long non-coding RNA is filed under the name Mus musculus (house mouse). RNAcentral describes it as "predicted gene, 39463 (Gm39463)". The record is from RNAcentral. Lineage: Eukaryota; Metazoa; Chordata; Mammalia; Rodentia; Muridae.
AAGCGAGCAGCAUGCACGAGCCUGGGAAGACCAGAAGCUCUUCUUGGUGUUCUGUUUACCCAAUUAUGAGAGUUCUGAUGAUAAACUUAAAUACAAGAUACAGAAAUCUUCAUAUGUAAUCUGUUAGAGAAAAAAUAAUCCAUACCUUGACAUGCUUUUAAGACUCAUAAAGAGACUAUUGAUGGCUCAGCAGUUAAAGUAUUCACUGUAGAUGAGCACAAAGACUGAACAGAGCUGUUCAUGGUCAUUACUGAAGGCUUCUGUGCUCAGUUAACUUCGGAUCGUCUCCCCUCAAACCUGAGCCAAUGGAUCGCUCCUCCCUUACCAGGCUUCUUGUCAGCACUGCCUUUCCUGAUGCGGCCCAAACAUCCCAAACAUCCCUGCAGCACCGCUCCUGUUACAGCCUCUUCUCAGAUAAGAGAAGAGUGAAUGAUGAAGCGCACUCGUCAGUGAGUCGUCAGUGUCCUUGAGGACAGGCCAAUGAGUGAGGAGCAUUCUGUCACCCAGGCCAACUGUGCAAGCGAUGUCAUCCAGGCCAACUGUGCAAGCGAUGUCUCCCAGGCUAACCAGCAAGUGAUGUCACCCAGACCAACUGUGCAAGAGAUGUCUCCCAGGCCAACUGUGCAAGCGAUGUCAUCCAGGCCAACUGUGCAAGCAAUGUCUCCCAGGCUAACCAGCAAGUGAUGUCACCCAGACCAACUGUGCAAGAGAUGUCUCCCAGGCCAACUGUGCAAGUGAUGUCACCCAGGCCAACUGUGCAAGCGAUGUCACCCAGGCCAACUGUGCAAGCGAUGUCAUCCAGGCCAACUGUGCAAGCGAUGUCACCCAGGCCAACUGUGCAAGUGAUGUCACCCAGGCCAAAUGUGCAAGCGAUGUCACCCAGGCCAACUGUGCAAGCGAUGUCACACAGGUCAACUGUGCAAGCGAUGUCACCCAGGCCAACUGUGCAAGUGAUGUCAGGGACAGGGAAGCUUCAAGGGAUGUGUCUCUUCUGAAGCAACAGUUUGAUUUCUGUCUUCUACUCUAUGAAGGCUUGACAAGGUUGCUCUACAAAAAUUACUGGAUUCUGAGCUGAUGGUUCAGGCCCAAGGAUGUCAGCAGAGACUUUUGCAAUGGGGCAGGACAGGUUUCACGUCAGGCUUUCAAGCUAAGGACAGGCAGCCACCUCCUAAAGAACUGCUUCGGUUGUUCAGUGAGGGUUACAUUGUGUUUGAGAACUCACCCCUCUUCUCUCUGUUGGGGGAGGAUCAUUGCUCACAGACAUCCCAUCCCCCAGCAGCUGCCAGCUCACCAUCCUCAUGGAGGACACAGGUGGGUGUGCACACACUGUAAGAGAAGCUUGCCAGCUAACACAAACUAAUUUUGACUCUGAAAUAAGCAGCAGGAUCCUUCCCUGAAUGGAGUUUAUGUCAGCAAUCAUCAAAUAUAUUUGGCACCCCUAGUUGCAUAUCAAUAAACACAUGGGGUGGUAGCCCUGAACACUGAUGGAGCACAUUACUUCAGCCAGUCAGAGCUGUGGUAUCUUCUAGCAGCAGUUCUGGCAGGAAACACCGCAUCUCUAGAAAACAACCCCAACUCCGAGCAGUGGCAAUGUGGCAGCUCCCCCACAGCUCAACGCAAGCUUUCCUUCCAUCAUUUCCUGUUUGUGUGCUCACCUUCCCAUGGGUCUUGGUCCUGAGAGCCCUUCCUGUUAAGGUUUGGAUGUGGGUUGAGUAUGUCCCAGAGCCUGUGUGGUAGAAGCCUGGUUCUCAACAUGACAGUGUUGGAAGGUGGAACCUGCCACACCAGCCAAAGCAGCCAUUUUUUUUUCUUGGUGAGUGACUUGGGAGGCUUGGUCACUCCACCAGGGACAACCUACACUAGACAACUAGGUCAUUUUGUCCAGUUCCCACUUCUGAUGCUACAAUUUCUGAUCCACACUGGAAGAUGCCUGGAAGAAUCUCUAACACCAUUGCCCCCUUUGCCUAAGUCCUAUAAGUGGGUGCUAUCCUUUUAACAGGAUUAGUUAAGUGCAGACUGCAGAGGGCUGGACAGGGAGGUCGCUAAAGAGAAGAAGCCCGCAAAGCUGAGCUCUAAAGUGAGACUUAUCAAGGGGCAACAGGCUGGAGUGCCCCCUGGUGGAAACAAGACAUGAAGAGCCAGAGGAUGGGAGGAGGUGGGGCAGGUAAGCAGAGGCGUGUGGAGAAAGCCCUGCCUGUGUCUAGAACUGAAACAUUGUAUGCAGAUGUCCGAGGACAAGCUCACCCUCCCUGGAAGCCAUGAUGGCAGCCAUAUACUUUGUGCUACUGGGGCAUGGUCAUUUCUUCCAUAAGGGAGAGUAAACUGGAGGAGUACAGCAAGGGUGAAGGAAACAAGGUUGAACAGAUUAUGAAUUGAUGGGUCAGAAAACACAGGGAUGAGAAUAAAUGCAGAGAAGGCACUGGGGGAGUAUUGAGAGGGGUUGAGGUCCUUAGCUGCAAGAGGCAAGAGAUGAAAUCCAGAUAUCAUUGCAGAAAACAAAGGGGCAGUUGCCAAAAGAAUGCGGGACCACUAGAUAUCAGUAGUCUCAGAGAUGUGUGAUGUCCCAGCCCACUCUAUGGCUAGAACUAUGGAUGCUGAUUGCACCUGCUGGUUACUGCCUGCUUCCCUCUGCUGGCACAUCGUGGAACUGCACCUUGGCACCAGGUUCUUUCCUCCAAACUGGCUGAGUCUGAUUAUCCAACCUAACACCGAGUCGAAGUUUGCAAGCACACUGCAUCUUCCAACUCAAGGACCCGAGGCCCAGGAAGGAGAGGGAAUCACUAUGUGUCUUAAAUCACGUUAGUGGAUUUGAGAGUCCUGUUCCACCCACAGCCAUAGGUGGCCUAGUGUGCCCGGGAAGCCUCUGAGAGCGCACCCUUGUGUUCAACUGCGGCAUUGCAGAAACUUGUCCCUGACUCUGCGUUGCAACUGUUCACCCUCCCAAACGGGACAAAUUCCAAAGACUCUGAGCUCAGAAAGAACAGGGAACUGUCUGCAACUGGACAUAAUCAUACUAAGCAAAUUGAUUCAGUAUCAGAAAGACAAAUGUGACAUGUUCUCUGUGGGUCCUAAAGGUUAUAUAGAUACAUAAAUUCAUAUAAACAGAUGACAUGGAAGGAGAAACAGAGCUAUCUAGGCCUGGGGGGACCAAAAGGUGGGAUGUGCUCAAAGUACACUCAUGCUUUCAUGAAGAUGGCAAUAAAAAUAAGUAAACACAAGCGGCAUUGACAGAUCAGUAGAGGGACCAGCUUCCCAGUAUCUCAGGCACACUUCCGAUCAUUGAUAUUUCCAGGUCCCAGGGUGCACGGGGAGAGAGAAGCAAGACAGGAGUACCUGAGAAAAGCCAAGCCACUCAGUUCUACACAUGUUAGUGACCAAAGAAGUCUCAACACAGCGUGAGACCUGAGCAUCCACCCCGACCUCGGGAGCUAUGGUCUGUUCUCGGCCAUGGGCUCAGCUAGCUUCAAGUGCCUGAAAUCUUCACACGCUGUGCCAAAGAUAGAACCAGACCCUAUUUCUGUGUCUCUCUUCCCAAGAUGUGCCAUCAUGUCAGGCUGACACCAAGUCAAGUGAGAAUAUGUUCUCUUCUGGACAGAGUCCCUAGAAUGGCAGGAGUUGGUGGAAGCCAGGAGGGAGGGGACAUGAGCUUCCUGUGUCUAAAUGCUGAUUUGGGGUUUUCAGGUUGUGCCUAUUGGGUUGUAAAAGUCCACAGAGCAAAGUUUUCUUUCUUUCAAUAUUGGGGGUUACACUUAAGGCCAGGCAAGUGCUCUACUACACACAAGCUAUUAAUGAUUUGAGGCAAGGGCUUACAUAUCUAUCCAGACUAGGUUUGAAGUCACUGCUGCCAGGCAGGCCUGGAACCUGGAACCUCUCUGCCUGUCCUCGCAACCCGCAAGUGAUUACUAUUACAAGUCUGUACCCAAGGCCCAGCUCUGUAAGUACAGCAUUGGCGCAAUGGAAUGACCAUUAGCUGUGUGCUGUGUGAAGGGCCAAGCAAUGGAGGCCACGAGUAUGGAGAUUGGCUGGAAGACGGAGUGAGGCAAGGGACACAUUUAUUGAAAGAAAGAAUAACUGAUGAGCAUCGUCAGGUCUCCAAGACAGCCGUGAAAUCCGGGAGAGAGGCAAUGACGACUCACUCACUAGGCUCUCUGCUCUUUCCUUCCUUCCUGCUAGGCUGGCGAGAGAGAUGGUCAUGUGACUGACUUCCAGCCAAUGAUAUAGGGCAACAUUUUGAAUGCCUGCUCCAUUGUGUAACCCCUUCCCUGUUCUCCCCUUAACUCAAGGACAAUGCUUACAGUGACAUUGGAAACUACAGGGCAAACACGAAACCUGUAAAAUCAGCUUGGGGUCGCUGCCAUACUGUUGGGGACCCGAGGACUGUGUGUCUCUUCCUAUGGGAGCCAAAGGAGCAGACGCCUGUGGUCCGAGACCGCCCGCCAUUGCCUUGAAAAGAAGGUGUAGGUUGUGUCUGACGCUCCCCUCUUCAGACAGCGUGGGACCUCAGAAGUCAAACUCAGGGCAGGGAACUUUUAUCUUCUCACACUUGAAAUCCCAGGUCUGGAAGCUUGUGAGGCCGGUGUCAUGAGGCUGGCAAUCCCUGUGCAGUGAUGUAGCCUCGGGCUUUUCUACCAACGCCCCAGUUCUUGAAAAAAAUGACCGAGUAUUACUUGUGAAUAAACGUCUAAGAAAGCGUGGA